CUGCUGCCUCCCGUAGGAGUAUGGACCGUUCUCAGUUCCAUUGUGGCCGUUCAACCUCUCAGUCCGGCUACGCAUCAUCGCCUUGGUAGGCCCUUACCCCGCCAACUAGCUAAUGCGCCACAGGCCCCUCCUUAAGCAGAUCUCUCUUUUAAAUAUAAAAGAUUCUUCCUCUAUAUCCUAUCCAGUUUUAUCCAUCGUUUCCAAUGGCUAUCCUCGUCUUAAGGGUAGGUUACCUAUGUAUUACUCACCCGUUCGCCACUAAAGUAACCCG
RNAcentral lists this ribosomal RNA (271 nucleotides) under uncultured bacterium. RNAcentral describes it as "partial 16S ribosomal RNA". The record is from RNAcentral.